This 484-nucleotide ribosomal RNA is filed under the name uncultured bacterium. RNAcentral's name for it is "partial 16S ribosomal RNA". It matches the Rfam family "Bacterial small subunit ribosomal RNA", at positions 30 to 507 of the family's 1533-position model. The record is from RNAcentral.
AUUGAACGCUGGCGGCAGGCCUAACACAUGCAAGUCGAGCGGAUGAAGGGAGCUUGCUCCUGGAUUCAGCGGCGGACGGGUGAGUAAUGCCUAGGAAUCUGCCUGGUAGUGGGGGAUAACGUCCGGAAACGGGCGCUAAUACCGCAUACGUCCUGAGGGAGAAAGUGGGGGAUCUUCGGACCUCACGCUAUCAGAUGAGCCUAGGUCGGAUUAGCUAGUUGGUGGGGUAAAGGCCUACCAAGGCGACGAUCCGUAACUGGUCUGAGAGGAUGAUCAGUCACACUGGAACUGAGACACGGUCCAGACUGCUACGGGAGGCAGCAGUGGGGAAUAUUGGACAAUGGGCGAAAGCCUGAUCCAGCUAUGCCGCGUGUGUGAAGAAGGUCUUCGGAUUGUAAAGCACUUUAAGUUGGGAGGAAGGGCAGUAAGUUAAUACCUUGCUGUUUUGACGUUACCAACAGAAUAAGCACCGGCUAACUUCGUG